AAAAAAAAUUGUUAAAAAAAAAACAAAAAUCUCUGUCCAAAUGAAAACGCAAAAACACAAUUGAAGCGCUGUA
Sander lucioperca (pikeperch) is the source of this 73-nucleotide long non-coding RNA. RefSeq lists it as uncharacterized. NCBI's taxonomy places the organism in Eukaryota, Metazoa, Chordata, Actinopteri, Perciformes, Percidae. The record is from RefSeq and is a predicted model, not a curated record. The transcript has 3 exons.